Molecule: ribosomal RNA, 483 nt
Filed under: uncultured bacterium
Lineage: Bacteria
Description: partial 16S ribosomal RNA
Rfam family: Bacterial small subunit ribosomal RNA
Source: RNAcentral
GACGAACGCUGGCGGCGUGCUUAACACAUGCAAGUCGAACGCUGAAGCUCAGCUUUUGUUGGGUGGAUGAGUGGCGAACGGGUGAGUAACACGUGAGUAACCUGCCUCCUUCUUUGGGAUAACGCCCGGAAACGGGUGCUAAUACUGGAUAUUCACUGGUCUUCGCAUGGGGGUUGGUGGAAAGGGUUUUUCUGGUGGGGGAUGGGCUCGCGGCCUAUCAGCUUGUUGGUGGGGUGAUGGCCUACCAAGGCUUUGACGGGUAGCCGGCCUGAGAGGGUGACCGGUCACAUUGGGACUGAGAUACGGCCCAGACUCCUACGGGAGGCAGCAGUAGGGAAUAUUGCACAAUGGGCGCAAGCCUGAUGCAGCGACGCCGCAUGAGGGAUGGAGGCCUUCGGGUUGUGAACCUCUUUCGCUCAUGGUCAAGCCGCAACAAUGGUUGUGGUGAGGGUAGUGGGUAAAGAAGCGCCGGCUAACUACGUG